RNAcentral lists this ribosomal RNA (277 nucleotides) under uncultured eukaryote. RNAcentral describes it as "partial 18S ribosomal RNA". It matches the Rfam family "Eukaryotic small subunit ribosomal RNA", at positions 21 to 300 of the family's 1831-position model. The record is from RNAcentral.
UAGUCAUAUGCUUGUCUCAAAGAUUAAGCCAUGCAUGUCUAAGUAUAAGCAAUUUAUACUGUGAAACUGCGAAUGGCUCAUUAAAUCAGUUAUAGUUUAUUUGAUAUUACCUUACUACUUGGAUAACCGUGGUAAUUCUAGUGCUAAUACAUGCUUUAAACCCCGACUUCUGGAAGGGGUGUAUUUAUUAGAUAAAAAACCAAUCGCAGCAAUGCGUUAACUGGUGAAUCAUGAUAACUAUUCGAAUCGCAUAGCUUCGGCUGGCGAUGGUUCAUUC